This 206-nucleotide unclassified non-coding RNA is filed under the name Ascomycota sp. Its description in RNAcentral is "partial contains small subunit ribosomal RNA and internal transcribed spacer 1". The stretch from base 1 to 47 matches the Rfam family "Eukaryotic small subunit ribosomal RNA", at positions 1785 to 1831 of the family's 1831-position model. Lineage: Eukaryota; Fungi; Ascomycota. The record is from RNAcentral.
AAAGUCGUAACAAGGUUUCCGUAGGUGAACCUGCGGAAGGAUCAUUAGUGGAUUCACACCAUGUGUGAAGCUACCCUGUGCUGUGUAUUGUGCAAGCGUGGCCAGUGAUGGCCAUGUUGCUUUUUAACCACCCAUCUCAUUCAUUUUAUUUCUGAACCACCCAAAAAAACAACCGAAAACUGCCAGCAAUGGAUCACUUGGUUCUC